This is a long non-coding RNA of Phocoena sinus (vaquita), 4559 nucleotides long. The record is from Ensembl. Lineage: Eukaryota; Metazoa; Chordata; Mammalia; Artiodactyla; Phocoenidae.
AGGUAAAGGGAACCUCAUGUGUAGUACCAUAGAAGUGGCAGAAUGAGUGGGGAUUAUGCAGACUGCAAGAAAAUCAUACGGAGUCCAGAGAGAUUAGUUUAGGUAAUCAGAGGCCAGAUGAUGAAGCAUUUCAUGCAGAAAAGAUCAGGCAUUUUCCACUGGAUAAAGGGAAACAAUAAUAGGUUUAAGCUGGAAAGUGACUGUUGUGGAUAGAUUUUGGCACCAUGAGGUAGGAAUGCUGCUGUAACAAAUGCCAAAAAAAAAAAAAAAAAGUGGUUAUGGCUUUGGAACUGGGUGAUGGGUAGAGGCUGGAGGAGUUUUGAGGUGUAUGUAUGAAAAAGCCUAUGGACUUCCCUGAUGGAACUUUUAAGCAAAAACGAACCAGAUCUUGAAGAUUUGGAAAAUUCUCAGCCUAUUCACGUUGCAAAAAAUGAGAAAAUGUGCUGUGGAGAGAACACCAAGAGUGUGGCUGGACAGUCACUCCAUAAAGAGAUUACCAAUGAGUUUAAUCAGCCAUCUCAGCUGGAGCCAGGAAGAGAGAUGAGAUUAUAGCAGCAGAAAAAGUGCCAGCUGGGACUAAAGGGGGACAGAAAAUAGGAUAGAGUGAAGUCUGUUUUACUUCUAAGAUCUCACAGGACAGACAGGUCAACAGAGCUAUCUGAAUUUGGACAUGCAUUAUCCCUCAAGAAAAGGGCGGAGUGAGGAUCUAGUUUGAGAUGGCAACAUAGAAGAAUCCUGAACUCAUCACUUUCUCCCGCAGACACAAUGAAUCUACAGCUACAUACAGAAUAAUUCCCUCUGAAAGAAAUCCAAAAAUUAGUUGAGGAACUCCCAUGUAUUGGGUAAACAAGGAAAAUAUCCCCAUCAAAACAGGUAGGAGAUAGAGGGGUGGGAUAGGGAGGGGGGUGGGAUAGGGAGGGGGGAUGGGAGGGAGACACAAGAGGGAAGAGAUAUGGGGAUAUAUGUAUAUGUAUAGCUGAUUCACUUCAUUGUAAAGCAGAAACUAACACACCAUUGUAAAGCAAUUAUACUCCAAUAAAGAUGUUAAAUAAAUAAAUAAAAUUUAAAAAACCAAACCGGUAGGGAAAGGCUGAGAGGCAAUCUUACCAUAAACCCCACCCUUGGCACGGCAACCUACAAUUAGGAGGAAACUCACAACUCUGAGCUUCUCCCUGAGGAGCAAAGGAUUUGAACCCCACAUCUGGAACCGCAACUUUUAAGACCUGUACCUGAGAUGAGCCACCAAAAUCCCUGGCUUUGAAAGCCAAUAGUAUUUGCAUCCACAAGACCCACAGGAUAGGACAAACUGAGAAACAGUUCUUAAAGGGCUCCAGCAGACUCACCUGGCUAUCCCCCCAGGGCCCAGCACAGAGGCAGCCUAAUUGAGACAGGAGGGAAAGGGGUAGGACACAAAUGCUAGAUAAUGAAGAAGGGGCACGGCUGUUGGGAUGUGAUAAAGACUAUCUGGAACCAGCUGAAACCAAGAUGGCUUUGAGAAUAGUCCGGUCAUUGACCUUUAGCUCAUUAUACCUUCAUUGUAAAACUAAAAACCACUCCCUCUUAUGCCAGCUCCGAGGAGGACCGUAAAAGACCAAAACGUGAACAGUGGCCCAAUUCCUGGGAUAUCCCCACCCUACACCAAAAUAGCAAAAAUAUUCCUCCCACUCAUUAGCCUACGAAAUUACUUAACCCAUAAAAAUCUGCAACCCCAUGCCCAAGGGCCACUCUCACUUUCUGAGACAGUCUACAUUCUGCCUAUGGAAUGUGUAUCUCUCUAAAUAAACCUGCUUUCCCUUUACUCUGACUUGCUCUUGAAUUCUUUCCUGUGUGAAGCCAAGGGCUCUCACUUUGUGGUCUGUCCUAAGGACUCCUGCAGGUCCCAGGUCAUGACAUUUCCCUCUCCUGCAACAUAAUGAUUACCCAACUAUCUAUGAAGAAAUGAAUUUGCAAAGUUUUAGCCUGAGGAGCAGGCUAAUUUAACACACAUCUAGGUGCCUACUGAAAUACUCUCCAAAAACCACAGAGGCCAGCAGGUGCCAUCUCUGCAUUCUUCCUCCAUCUUGCUCCAGGUCACCAGUAUCUCCUGGAAAGGAGUUUAUGCACAUGCCUGGGACCCCAGUUUUUGUGGGUACCACCCAGGGCACAUCCCUUGGUUGCCUGGCUCUGGUGACCAGCAGGGCUUAUGUUCCCAGGUCCCACAGGACUGUAAUAAAUGGAGAAAGAGGGUUUGUUUGUUUUUUUUUUUUACUAGCUACCCAUCCCAGGGCUCAGCAGAGAGGUAGCAGACUGAAAUGCCCAGUCUUCCUGUGAAAGAGGCCUAUUAGCUUAUCUUCACAGCUGUGGGCUGAGGGCCCAGCUUCUAAUUAAACACAGAUCUAAGGGCUGAGUGUAAUCCUCUCCAGAGAUCUGGGAAGGCAGGCACGAUCUUCAUGCUCUCCCUCAGUCUCCCUCCAGGUUGCCUGUAUCUCCCGGAAUGGAGCUUGUGCACACAUCUGUGCUCUGAUUUUUGAUGGCUGCAGCACAGGGUACACCCCUCGAUUGCCUGGCUCUCGUGGCCAGCACGGCUUAAGUUUGCCAAUCGGACUGGACUGUAACAAACAGAGAAAUGUAACUGGGCAGGACCCUGUGAGGCCUUCCCAGAAUAGACCCCCGCCCAUGUCAUCCUCCUGCCUUUUGUCUACAGAAAAACUUCAGUCAAAGAAUAAAUUUAAUCAAAGAAGUGAGAAAAUGCAGAAAGGAAAACAGUCAAGCAAGACAAAAAUAAUACUUUAGCCAUUAAACAAAGUCAAGGACCUUUAGUUCUUCCUCAAGGGCUAUAAAUGAUAUUCUGAGCCAUGUCCUUUGAGCUGUUUUGUGAUACUGAAACCCCCAUCACGUGGAAGAAGUUAACUCUCUGCUGCCCACAAGCAUGUAGACCCCAGACUGGUUGGAACCAGAAGGUUGAUGAUGCUGACUCCCAAUUACCUCACCACCAACCAAUCAGAAGAAUGUCCAUGAGUUGAUCACACACCACAAACCCCCUCCCUCACCCUGUCUUUAUAAACCUUUCCCUGAAAGCCCUCAGGGAGUUCAGGUCUUUUAAGUACUAGCUGCCCUGGACUCCUUGCUUGGCGCCCUGCAAUAAAUGCUGCACUUUCCUUCAGCACAACCCAGUGUCAGCAGAUUGGCUACACCGCACACAAGCAAGCAGACCCAAGUUUGGUUCGGUAACAGAAACAGUUCUUACCUGGCUGCUCUUAAAAGAAACAGCACAGACGUAGCAGCAUGAAACACACCCCGAGGCUUUCUGUGAAAGAGGCCUAUUUGCUUAUCUUAAAGCUUCAGCCUGAGGGGCAGGCUUCUAACUUAACACAUUAUCUAGAGGUCUACUGAAAUACUCUCCAAAGAUCAGAAAGGCUGGCAGGUACCAACUUUGCACUAUCCCUCUGCCUCACUCCAUGUUGCUGGUAUCUCCCAGAAGGGAGCCUGUGCACACAUCUGGAGUCCCAGAUUUUGUGGUUGCUGCCCAGGGGAUGCCGCUUGAUUACCUGGCUCUGGUGGCCAGCAGGGCUUAUAUUCACAGGUUGUAUAGGAUUGUAGCAAAAGAAGAAAAUGUUCAUAACAAGCUACACCCUGCUCCUCCCAACAAUGGAGAGGUAGCUGACUGAAAAAGCCCAGUCUUUCUGUGAAAGAGAAACCAUAAAUUACUCAGCAAUGCAUUCACUGUAGGACACUGAUUUAGGGCAAGAUUAUUGGAAACACCUUUGCCAGUUCUUAUAGUCUUGGGAUUCUAGUCCAGGGGUUCUUGAGACCUUGGGGGUUGUUAUGGACUGAAUGUUUGUGUCUUCCCAAAAUUCUUAUGUUGAAAUCUAACCCUCAAUAUGAUGGUAUUUGGAGGUGGGACCUUUGGGAGAUUAUUAGGUCAUCAGGAUAGAGACCUCAUAAAUGGGAUGAAGGCGAUGAAGGGACCAGAGUGCCCUCUUUGGGCCACAUGAGAAUACAAGGAGAAGCUAACAGUCUGUAACCUGGAAGAUGGUCCUCACCAGAACUCAACCAUGCUAGCUAGCACCCUGAUGUGACUUCCAACCUCCAGAACUAAGAAAUGUUUUUGUAAGCCACCUAGUUUAUGGUAUUUUAUUAUAUCAGCCUGAGCUAGGACACGGGUUAUUUCUCUGGGAAUUAAGUCAAAUUUUAAAAAUCUGAUCCCUAGAAAAAUACACCUAGGCCCCAACAUGCAACUCCAUACAUACAACUUCUGAGAGUUCAAGGACCUCUGGGAACCUGUCCAAGGAAUCCCCAAAUUUCAGGUAAGGAGAUCAGCUCCUUACUUGUAACAGUCCAUUGGGCCACACUACACCCUGAUGACAGAGAGCUGGUAAAGCUGACUCAGAGUUCCACAUACACAGUCAUUACUCAAACUGCAACAACUUUAAACUGGACCCUUCAGGAAUAACAAUGAACCCUGUGCUUCAUCUCUUAUCAGUUCCCUGCCCAAACCCCUACCCCGUUGACCCACAUCUCUGUGUUAAAGUCAUCAAUCACAAACCUUCUUUUAAAGUCGUCCUAAAGAAGGUGGUCCC